GAAAAUGUGACUUGGGAAGAUUCCUAAGAAUAAGGCAUAACCUAUACGACUUAUGUCAUAUUUCUAGCAGGAAAACUCAGCUAGUGGGGAGAGCAGUCGUAUGGUUAGGACUGUCUCAAAACCAAAUUCACCCAAUACGAAUUCAACCCGUGAACACUGCCGCUGCUCACUGCUCCACUUGUGCCCUCAUCACUGCCUUCAUGCCCCAGUGCUCUGGGCCAGUUGACGACUCCCUCUACAUCCCUACAUACUCUCUGCUGGCCGGCUGCUGGGCCUUGCUUUGGCCAGGGGGCCACAUCACGAUAAAGGCUGGGGAAUGUAGAGUCACCUGCAGCCUGUUCUGCCAAAAUAUUCAGUGGAAGACUGAGCCACGCUGACCUCGGACAUGAGGAAAAGAGAUGUGCAAUCAGACUAAGGAGUCACCUACUGCUUAGGUGGAUUGUACCUGGAUUCUAGUGAAAUGAAGAGACGCUAAAGAUGAAUGAAAAGAAGACUGAAUCUGUACAUCCACAUCUUCAAGGGCAGCGACCAUUUCUUAUGCUUCUCUUCAGGACCUCGUUCAGGACCCUGUGCAUUCUAGGUACAAAGGAAAGGAGAUGAAGAUGAAGAAACAGAGGCUCAAGAAAUAAAGUCGCCUAUCCAAUGUUGCUCAGUUGACGGCAAAGUUGAGGUAAAAAGCCAUGUUUGUUCAACUCCAUAGACCUGUUCUGAGCCCCACAUUCUAACAUCUCCCCAGUCUCUGCCAAAGCAUGGAACAGUCUCCUGUUCCUGCUCAGAUUCCAAGGACUUACCUGGUUUGAUGGGUUGACCAGCACUAAGAAUCUCCUGCCAGAUUCCAGCUGUGCUCAUUCCACCUGCAUCAGGAACCGGCACCCCAUCCAGGAGUCACACCAUCAUACUCUGCACCUGACCCUGUGUGGGUGAGGCAUCUCCUGGAAGACAGUGGACCCACGGAUGCCCAGUCCUCUGUGAGGGCUCUCAAUUUUGUCUGGUCAUGGAGCAGGGAUAUCGGAGUCCUCCCAUUCUAGGUUCUAGAGUUCACAAAUUCCAGCAAGCUGUUUCAUGGGAUCAGGGACACUUCGUUCUUUGCGUCCAUCCUGUGACUGUCAUGGUUAGAAUGCAUUUGUUCUGAUUUGCACUGACAUUCAGUCAAUAAACAACUGGUCAUUGGAACUGAAUCUCCUAUCACUGCCAGCAUUUGCAAAGCUGAGUUUCAUUUUGCUGAUCAUCCAGUGUGUGUCUCUCCAGUAAUGUGGUAUGUCCAGUGUUCCAACAUGAACCGCAUAUUCCCCUAAGCUGACCACCCUGGCUUUCUUCUGGAAAUUCCACCGGAAACACCCUGAGAUACUGUAGCCUGCAAAGCUGAAGGCAACGGAUAGACCUUGGUCCUUCUACAUCCACUGCCUAAGUGUGAGGGACAAGCCCUAUGCCAGGCUUUGCCCUAGCCAUCACAUGUCUACCCUGUUCUUGUCUUGCACAACCUCCCUUUCCUCUGUCCAAACAGUUGCUGUUUCUUUCCAAGCUCAGUCUACGAUUCUCACCCCUAUACAUGCUCCCCUAAUCAGGCUGAAGACAGAAUAUGCUCACCUUAUUUUACUAUGACUAGAUAUAUCAGGGAUAUAUCAGACUUAGCCUAAGUCUAGCAGAUUUUAAUAGUUAUUAAUAGAAUAUUCGUUCUUUUCCUUAUAAACACUAUAGUCAAUAUUCUUGUUCUCUCAUGUACCACUUAAAGUAUCUGAAAUCAGACAUGAAAGAGUAAUUUAAAUUUGUUGAAGACAAAGCUUUCUCUUUAUUUUAUUUUUUAAAAUGUUUAUUUUAUUUUGGAAUAUAGCUGAUUAGCAAUAUUGUGGUAGUUUCAGGUGUACAGCAAAGUGAUGCAGUUACACAUAUACGUGUAUCUAUUCUUUUUUCAUUUAGGUUAUUACAGAGUAUUGAGCAGUGUUCCCUGUGCUAUAUGGAGACAGAUCCGGAGAAGGCAAUGGCACCCCACUCCAGUACUCUUGCCUGGAAAAUCCCAUGGACGGAGGAGCCUGGUAGGCUGCAGUCCAUGGGGUCACUAAGAGUCGGACAAGACUGAGUGACUUCACUUGCAGUUUUCACUUUCAUGCAUUAGAGAAGGAAAUGGCAACCCACUCCAGUGUUCUUGCCUGGAGAAUCCCAGGGACAGGGGAGCCUGGUGGGCUGCUGUCUAUGGGGUUGCACAGAGUCGAACAUGACUGAAGCGACUUAGCAGCAGCAGCAGGAGACAGAUCAAAAAAGAUAUUGCUGAGAUUUAUGUCAAAUAGUAUUCUGCCUCUGUUUUACUCUAAGAAUUUUAUAGUAUCUGGUCUUACAUUUAGGUCUUUAAUCCACUUUGAAUUUAUUUUUGA
Long non-coding RNA from Bos taurus (domestic cattle), 2369 nucleotides. NCBI's taxonomy places the organism in Eukaryota, Metazoa, Chordata, Mammalia, Artiodactyla, Bovidae. The record is from Ensembl.